GACGAACGCUGGCGGCGUGCUUAACACAUGCAAGUCGAACGGAAAGGCCCUGCUUUUGUGGGGUGCUCGAGUGGCGAACGGGUGAGUAACACGUGAGUAACCUGCCCUUGACUUUGGGAUAACUUCAGGAAACUGGGGCUAAUACCGGAUAGGAGCUCCUGCUGCAUGGUGGGGGCUGGAAAGUUUCGGCGGUUGGGGAUGGACUCGCGGCUUAUCAGCUUGUUGGUGGGGUAGUGGCUUACCAAGGCUUUGACGGGUAGCCGGCCUGAGAGGGUGACCGGCCACAUUGGGACUGAGAUACGGCCCAGACUCCUACGGGAGGUAGCAGUGGGGAAUAUUGCACAAUGGGCGGAAGCCUGAUGCAGCAACGCCGCGUGCGGGAUGACGGCCUUCGGGUUGUAAACCGCUUUCGCCUGUGACGAAGCGUGAGUGACGGUAAUGGGUAAAGAAGCACCGGCUAACUACGUG
This 468-nucleotide ribosomal RNA is filed under the name uncultured bacterium. RNAcentral describes it as "partial 16S ribosomal RNA". It matches the Rfam family "Bacterial small subunit ribosomal RNA", at positions 28 to 507 of the family's 1533-position model. The record is from RNAcentral.